GUUCCUGUUGUAGUACCACCCAUGUGCAUCGUCACUCAUGUGUGGCUAUGCUAACAGGAUAGAGGAACCUGCUGUCAGUGUCUGAAGGGGCAGCUGGACAAACCCACUCCCUCUAUAUGUACUGACAGCACAUCACUAC
Molecule: small nucleolar RNA, 139 nt
Organism: Ictalurus punctatus (channel catfish)
Lineage: Eukaryota; Metazoa; Chordata; Actinopteri; Siluriformes; Ictaluridae
Gene: SNORA29
Product: Small nucleolar RNA SNORA29
Source: Ensembl